Molecule: ribosomal RNA, 728 nt
Filed under: uncultured bacterium
Lineage: Bacteria
Description: bacterial SSU rRNA
Rfam family: Bacterial small subunit ribosomal RNA
Source: RNAcentral
GACGAACGCUGGCGGCGUGCUUAACACAUGCAAGUCGAACGAGAAUCACCGGAAAGAGGAUUCGUCCAAUGGAAGGUGAGGAAAGUGGCGGACGGGUGAGUAACGCGUGAGGAACCUGCCUUGGAGAGGGGGACAACAGCUGGAAACGGCUGCUAAUACCGCAUAACAUAUCUGAAUCGCAUGGUUUGGAUAUCAAAGAUUUAUCGCUCUGAGAUGGCCUCGCGUCUGAUUAGCUGGUUGGCGGGGUAACGGCCCACCAAGGCGACGAUCAGUAGCCGGACUGAGAGGUUGAACGGCCACAUUGGGACUGAGAUACGGCCCAGACUCCUACGGGAGGCAGCAGUGGGGAAUAUUGGGCAAUGGGCGCAAGCCUGACCCAGCAACGCCGCGUGAAGGAAGAAGGCUUUCGGGUUGUAAACUUCUUUUAAGGGGGAAGAGGAGAAGACGGUACCCCUAGAAUAAGCCACGGCUAACUACGUGCCAGCAGCCGCGGUAAUACGUAGGUGGCAAGCGUUGUCCGGAUUUACUGGGUGUAAAGGGCGUGUAGCCGGGUCUGCAAGUCAGAUGUGAAAUCCAUGGGCUUAACCCAUGAACUGCAUUUGAAACUGUGGAUCUUGAGUGCUGGAGGGGCAAUCGGAACUCCUAGUGUAGCGGUGAAAUGCGUAGAUAUUAGGAGGAACACCAGUGGCGAAGGCGGAUUGCUGGACAGUAACUGACGGUGAGGCGCG